This 500-nucleotide ribosomal RNA is filed under the name uncultured bacterium. RNAcentral's name for it is "bacterial SSU rRNA". It matches the Rfam family "Bacterial small subunit ribosomal RNA", at positions 8 to 507 of the family's 1533-position model. The record is from RNAcentral.
AGAGUUUGAUCCUGGCUCAGGAUUAACGCUGGCGGUAUGCCUAACACAUGCAAGUCGAACGGAAUACUCGAAAAGAGAAUCUCACACUAGUGAGAGGUUCUCCAACCGAGUAUUUAGUGGCGGACGGGUGAGUAACACGUUGGAACCUGCCCCGAAGUGGGGAAUAACUGCUCGAAAGAGUAGCUAAUACCCCAUAGUAUCCGGUUUAUCCGGAUUAAAGAUUUAUCGCUUCGGGAGGGGCCUGCGUCUGAUUAGCUUGUUGGUGGGGUAAAAGCUCACCAAGGCGACGAUCAGUAGCUGGUUCGAGAGGAUGACCAGCCACACUGGGACUGAGAUACGGCCCAGACUCCUACGGGAGGCAGCAGUGAGGAAUCUUCCACAAUGGACGAAAGUCUGAUGGAGCAAUACCGCGUGCAGGACGACGCUUUUCGGAGUGUAAACUGCUUUUGUCGUCGAAGAUUAUGACUGUAGACGAAGAAUAAGGACCGGCUAACUACGUG